GACAGAGGGUGCAAACAUUGCUCGGAAUCACUGGGCGUAAAGCGCGUGUAGGCGGACGAUCAAGUCAGUUGUGAAAUCCCUGGGCUCAACCUAGGAACUGCAUCUGAAACUGGUCGCCUUGAGUGUCGGAGAGGGAAGCGGAAUUCCGGGUGUAGAGGUGAAAUUCGUAGAUAUCCGGAGGAACACCGGUGGCGAAGGCGGCUUCCUGGACGACUACUGACGCUGAGACGCGAAAGCGUGGGGAGCAAACAGG
Molecule: ribosomal RNA, 253 nt
Filed under: uncultured bacterium
Lineage: Bacteria
Description: partial 16S ribosomal RNA
Rfam family: Bacterial small subunit ribosomal RNA
Source: RNAcentral